UACGUAGGGUGCGAGCGUUAAUCGGAAUUACUGGGCGUAAAGCGUGCGCAGGCGGUGAUGUAAGACAGGUGUGAAAUCCCCGGGCUUAACCUGGGAACUGCAUUUGUGACUGCACGGCUGGAGUGCGGCAGAGGGGGAUGGAAUUCCGCGUGUAGCAGUGAAAUGCGUAGAUAUGCGGAGGAACACCGAUGGCGAAGGCAAUCCCCUGGGCCUGCACUGACGCUCAUGCACGAAAGCGUGGGGAGCAAACAGG
RNAcentral lists this ribosomal RNA (253 nucleotides) under uncultured bacterium. RNAcentral's name for it is "partial 16S ribosomal RNA". It matches the Rfam family "Bacterial small subunit ribosomal RNA", at positions 524 to 776 of the family's 1533-position model. The record is from RNAcentral.